UCGCGGGUAAAAUUUACCCACAAAUUUACCGAUAAUAAACUAGAACUUAGAAACAUUAUUAAUAACUUUCAAUACUAUUUAUGAAAAGUUCAGAAAACAAAGAUGUUGAACACAACGGACAUCGGAAUCCAAGAAAUAAUAAAAGAUCUUGUGCCUUCAUGCGUAGUGAACGAAAUAGCAUGUUUCGUACUUUACGACGACCACCCGGCACAGAGAAAGAUAUGCGAUAUUACAAUAUGUACAAAGUAUGGAGAAGUUAAAGAAUACUAUAAGGGUGAAGAAGUAUCUUCCCUCUUUCUUGGCAGUGAAAUUCAGUUUACGAAGAUGAGUAUUGUCAGGAAUAGCCAAGGACAACUUUUCUACCUGUUAGCGUCACAGAGUGAAGUGAUAAUUUUAUCCAGAAAAGAGGAACUUGCAGUUCAUAAAAAAAUAUCAAACGUCGAUUAUUACGAUGUGAAUGAUAACGCGUGUAGAGGAGAAGCAUGCCUCAAAGUUGUCUUAAAAGAUGAUGCAGUGCCUUUAAUAUUUGAUGAUAAUUUUGAAAAUUUAGGUGAAAGAGCUGCGGCCUUAAGUGGUAUGCAUGUUGAUGACUCUUUGCCGAUACUCACUCAGCUGAAGAGGAAACUCAGUCAGGCUAGAUAUAGCAUACAAUGUAAUGAGAAGACUCGGGAAGAGUUUAGGGAUCUGAGGAAACUUACAGCGUUUACUGCAUCAAGGAAACUUCACCCGAACUUGGAUGAUUCCAUGAUUAGUGAAAGCUAUAAUGAGGUACCUGAGCAGCUGAUACUCAUAUCACAGACUCCAAGUGUUGCAGUGUGUAAUAAGAAUGUAGUGAUCACACUGAAUGUCAUUAAUAAAGGUAAACUGCCCCUCCACAACAUUGCCAUACUUCUCCACUCCAAACAACCUUCAACGGUCUACACCACGCAUCUAUUCCAACACACAACCAUCAGCCCCCACUGGAAAGAAGUUCACAAGCUACAACCGAAACAUACAGACAGCUAUACUAGCUGUUAUUGACUUAGCAGAACUACAAUAUAGCACAAGUAGAUUAGAAUUUGAUGGAGUGAUUUCAUAAGAGAGAUGGAAAAGAUUUCUUGAUGCCGUUUGAUUCAGUUGUGUUGUCGUAUGCUGAGUUUAUGGGGACACAGUAUGAUGUGCUAGCUAAUGAAAUUAAUGAAACCAGCAUCCUGCCGGUCCUGGCAACCACGAAAAAGUUAGACCUUUUAUUAAGAAUAAUAGACAACACGU
This 1251-nucleotide unclassified non-coding RNA is filed under the name Leguminivora glycinivorella. RNAcentral's name for it is "uncharacterized LOC125234763, transcript variant X1". The record is from RNAcentral. Lineage: Eukaryota; Metazoa; Arthropoda; Insecta; Lepidoptera; Tortricidae.